Molecule: ribosomal RNA, 497 nt
Filed under: uncultured bacterium
Lineage: Bacteria
Description: partial 16S ribosomal RNA
Rfam family: Bacterial small subunit ribosomal RNA
Source: RNAcentral
GAUGAACGCUGGCGGCGUGCCUAAUACAUGCAAGUCGAGCGAACGGACGAGAAGCUUGCUUUUUUGAUGUUAGCGGCGGACGGGUGAGUAACACGUGGAUAACCUACUUCUAAGACUGGGAUAACUUCGGGAAACCGGAGCUAAUACCGGAUAAUAUUUUGAACCGCAUGGUUCAAAGGUUAAAGACGGUCUUGCUGUCUCAUUUAGCUGGAUCGGCGCUGCAUUGGCUAGUUGGUAAGGUAACGGCUUACCAAGGCAACGAUGCGUAGCCGACCUGAGAGGGUGAUCGGCCACACUGGAACUGAGACACGGUCCAGACUCCUACGGGAGGCAGCAGUAGGGAAUCUUCCGCAAUGGGCGAAAGCCUGACGGAGCAACGCCGCGUGAGUGAUGAAGGCCUUCGGAUCGUAAAACUCUGUUAUUAGGGAAGAACAGAUGUGUAAGUAACUGUGGACAUCUUGACGGUACCUAAUCAGAAAGCCACGGCUAACUACGUG